RNAcentral lists this ribosomal RNA (654 nucleotides) under Triticum aestivum (bread wheat). RNAcentral describes it as "partial small subunit ribosomal RNA". The record is from RNAcentral. Lineage: Eukaryota; Viridiplantae; Streptophyta; Magnoliopsida; Poales; Poaceae.
AUGGCUAUAGAAAUAGAAUCAUCUAAGUUGAGAAGAAUUACUAAUGAUUUUUCGGACACCCAAAAAGUUGGUGGUGGCUAUGGAGACGUUUACAAGGCAGUCUACAAUGGGGAAGCCAUGGCAGUGAAGUUGCUUCAUGCGACCAAAGGAAUUGAUGACAAACAAUUCAUGAAGGGACUCCGUAACCAUAUGAAGGUCCAACAUCCAAACAUUGUACGUCUAGUUGGGUAUUGCAAUGAAGAGACCAAGAAAUAUGUUGAGCUACCUGAUGGCACGUCUGUUUUUGGUAGACACAUAUACAAGGUGCUCUGCUUUGAAUAUAUGGUUGGUAGAAGCUUAGAUAAGCGUCUGCCAGGAGUUUCUCUAGGAGAUGAAUGGCGCACACAUUACCAAAUAAUAAAGGGGACUUGUGAAGGUUUGUUUUAUCUUCACAAUGGAUGUGAAAAUCGGAUCCUCCACUUGGAUCUAAAGCCUGCCAAUGUAUUACUUGACAAGAGCAUGAAACCGAAAAUUGCGGAUUUGGAUUGUCAAGGAUCUACACUGCAAGCCGUAGCCAUAUCAAAGUUGAUUCAGUUUCAGGGACAACGAAUAACAUGCCACCUGAAUCAAUACACGGGAGCGAGAUGUCAGACAAGACUGAUGUCUAUGGUUUAG